GGUAACCCCAUGCGCUUUGAGUUUUACAUGCAUAACCAUUGAACUUUUCAGGUUUCAAGUGCAACAGCAUCUUCUCAACAAUCAAGAUAGACAACAAUAUUUUGAAUUUAUAUGCACACUUCAUCAUAGUCAUCUUCAUCAUCUUCUUGGUCAAGUUAUUGCAGCAGAUCCCAAACACAAGCUCCAACACCAUAUAUCAAGAAAUAAUCGGGUGUUUUGCUGUCUUGGGUUUGUACUUGCACUCCUCACAUUUUAUUGGGUAAAUGAUGUUAUAUACGUAGAAAAAUUACGUGGAGUUGUUCAUAUUAGUUUCACAAACCUAAAAAAAAAAGUUUGGUUCACAAUAAAGUACGAAAACCACAAGCUCUUUACGCAAAGGGCGCAAUAUUAUAUAUAUAAAGUUAAACCAAACUGAAGUUGCCAAGGGAUCAACUUUGGAAUGGUGAGACAGCUGACUAACAAACAAUAAACCUUGCUUUAUUUAUCAUGUGGAUGUUGAUGUAUAAGCAAAACGGAUUGGAAUUAUGUGAUAAUUUGAUUAUACUAUUUGGGACAUGAUAUGAUAUUCCCAAAGAUUGAUGAAAACUUGAAGCCAACGUGAAUCACACUGCUCACAGCUGGAAAUAACGGGACAAAAUUAAAAAGAAUGGGGAAAAUGGUUUUGUUUAACAUCACAAGUAAAUUAUUCUUCUCAACAAGUUUUAUUUAAUUUAAUGGUUGAAUUUAUUGAUUUAAUAGUGAAAACAAACGUGUAAAGGUG
RNAcentral lists this long non-coding RNA (760 nucleotides) under Medicago truncatula (barrel medic). RNAcentral's name for it is "long non-coding RNA (MTRU_LNC002057)". Lineage: Eukaryota; Viridiplantae; Streptophyta; Magnoliopsida; Fabales; Fabaceae. The record is from RNAcentral.